RNAcentral lists this ribosomal RNA (425 nucleotides) under uncultured bacterium. RNAcentral's name for it is "partial 16S ribosomal RNA". It matches the Rfam family "Bacterial small subunit ribosomal RNA", at positions 354 to 796 of the family's 1533-position model. The record is from RNAcentral.
GUGGGGAAUCUUGCGCAAUGGGCGAAAGCCUGACGCAGCCAUGCCGCGUGAAUGAUGAAGGUCUUAGGAUUGUAAAAUUCUUUCACCGGGGACGAUAAUGACGGUACCCGGAGAAGAAGCCCCGGCUAACUUCGUGCCAGCAGCCGCGGUAAUACGAAGGGGGCUAGCGUUGCUCGGAAUUACUGGGCGUAAAGGGCGCGUAGGCGGACAGUUUAGUCAGAGGUGAAAGCCCAGGGCUCAACCUUGGAAUUGCCUUUGAUACUGGCUGUCUGGAGUACGGGAGAGGUGAGUGGAACUCCGAGUGUAGAGGUGAAAUUCGUAGAUAUUCGGAAGAACACCAGUGGCGAAGGCGACUCACUGGCCCGUUACUGACGCUGAGGCGCGAAAGCGUGGGGAGCAAACAGGAUUAGAAACCCUGGUAGUCC